UGAGGAAUAUUGGUCAAUGGGCGUGAGCCUGAACCAGCCAAGUCGCGUGAGGGAAGACUGCCCUAUGGGUUGUAAACCUCUUUUGUCGGGGAGCAAAGCCGCCACGUGUGGCGGUUUGAGAGUACCCGAAGAAAAAGCAUCGGCUAACUCCGUGCCAGCAGCCGCGGUAAUACGGAGGAUGCGAGCGUUAUCCGGAUUUAUUGGGUUUAAAGGGUGCGUAGGCGGACGAUCAAGUCAGCGGUCAAAUGUCGGGGCUUAACCCCGGCCUGCCGUUGAAACUGGUUGUCUUGAGUGAGCGAGAGGUAUGCGGAAUGCGUGGUGUAGCGGUGAAAUGCAUAGAUAUCACGCAGAACCCCUGAUUGCGAAGGCAGCAUACCGGUGCUCAACUGACGCUGAUGCACGAAAGCGUGGGUAUCGAACAGGAUUAGAUACC
RNAcentral lists this ribosomal RNA (433 nucleotides) under uncultured bacterium. Its description in RNAcentral is "bacterial SSU rRNA". It matches the Rfam family "Bacterial small subunit ribosomal RNA", at positions 355 to 786 of the family's 1533-position model. The record is from RNAcentral.